Molecule: ribosomal RNA, 681 nt
Filed under: uncultured bacterium
Lineage: Bacteria
Description: bacterial SSU rRNA
Rfam family: Bacterial small subunit ribosomal RNA
Source: RNAcentral
GGCGGACGGGUGAGUAAUGCCUAGGAAUCUGCCUGGUAGUGGGGAUAACGUUCGGAAACGGACGCUAAUACCGCAUACGUCCUACGGGAGAAAGCAGGGGACCCUUCGGGCCCUUGCGCUAUCAGAUGAGCCUAGGUCGGAUUAGCUAGUUGGUGGGGUAAUGGCUCACCAAGGCGACGAUCCGUAACUGGUCUGAGAGGAUGAUCAGUCACACUGGAACUGAGACACGGUCCAGACUCCUACGGGAGGCAGCAGUGGGGAAUAUUGGACAAUGGGCGAAAGCCUGAUCCAGCCAUGCCGCGUGUGUGAAGAAGGUCUUCGGAUUGUAAAGCACUUUAAGUUGGGAGGAAGGGCAGUUGCCUAAUACGUAACUGUUUUGACGUUACCGACAGAAUAAGCACCGGCUAACUCUGUGCCAGCAGCCGCGGUAAUACAGAGGGUGCAAGCGUUAAUCGGAAUUACUGGGCGUAAAGCGCGCGUAGGUGGUUUGUUAAGUUGGAUGUGAAAUCCCCGGGCUCAACCUGGGAACUGCUUUCAAAACUGACUGACUAGAGUAUGGUAGAGGGUGGUGGAAUUUCCUGUGUAGCGGUGAAAUGCGUAGAUAUAGGAAGGAACACCAGUGGCGAAGGCGACCACCUGGACUGAUACUGACACUGAGGUGCGAAAGCGUGGGGAGCAAAC